Molecule: non-coding RNA, 2627 nt
Organism: Podarcis lilfordi (Lilford's wall lizard)
Lineage: Eukaryota; Metazoa; Chordata; Lepidosauria; Squamata; Lacertidae
Source: the annotation of a GenBank genome assembly
CCUGACUUGGGAAGGAGCAGGCUUGAUGCUUGGUGAGUUAUUUUAUAGCUCUGGGGGGGGGGUCAUUAGGGGCAGAUUGUUGACCCCACCCAUCAGUGUCCCAUGACUUUCUCCCAUGUUAAUGAGGGCCAUUCCCACCCCCCAAAUGAGGAAACAUUCAUAGGGAAAAUAUUGAGUAACCUGACUCUCAUAGUUUGAAAUCCCCUCAAUUCUUGGCAAUGUGUUUUGGACCUCGCAGGCAGCCCAUCGGUUGUGAUGACAAUCUUGCCUCUCUAAAUGAAACCAGUUUCCCAACAUUCUGCCACAACUAUAGCGCAGAGAUCGCCACAGGGUUGUCCUCUUGAUGUUGGGCGCCAGCUCCCAUCAGCCUCAACCAGAAUGGCCUGUGGUCAGGGCAGAUGGAAGUUGUAGUUGAACAGCACAAAGCACGCAGUGUGUUGUCUCUUAUUACUUAUGACGUUUAUUUGUCGCUUACAAAAACAUCUCAAAGCUGCUUACAAUUAUAAAAGCAGACGGGAUACAGUGGUACCUCGGGUUAAGAACUUAAUUCGUUCUGGAGGUCUGUUCUUAACCUGAAGCACCACUUCAGCUAAUGGGGCCUCCCACUGCUGCCGCCGCACAAUUUCUGUUCUCCUUCUGAAGCAAAGUUCUUAACCCAAGGUACUAUUUCUGGGUUAGCGGAGUCUGUAACCUGAAGCGUCUGUAACCAGAGGUACCACUGUACAAAGAUUUAAAAAUAUCACAAAGUUAAAAGGAGCAUUCAUUGCCUAAAUGUGCCCAUCCUUCAAAAACAUAAAAAUAACAAAUCUUUCCCCAUCAUACCAUUAUGGACUUGGGUAUAUCAUACCUUAUGACCACCAAUUAAAAGCCAAAUUUUAGGGUGAGCAGGAAUGACUUUUCCUGGCUAAGAAGUUGUUCCUAUGAUGGCACCAGGCAACUUUAUCUGAGGAGAGCAAGCCGCAAUUGGGGAGCCACCACUGAAAAGGCCCAUUCUUGUGUUGCCACCUGCCAAAUCUCUCUCAGAAGUGGGACAAGAAGCAGGGCCUCAGGUGAUGAACGUAGUCUGGCAUAAGCAAGCUAUGGAACCGGUGCCAGGGUUACACCAGGCAGGGGCAGACACAAUCCUUGGUGGAUCCCCUUCUAAAAUAUUGUCUGUUGGUGAAAGCAAGAUUUGAGGGAGAGGAGACCCUCAAUAGAGAGGCAGUGCACACAGGGGGCUGGGUCUUUCCUUGGACAAAGAGUCCAUAGUUCAGUGGUAGAGAACAUGGUUUGCAUGCAGAAGGACCCUAGUUAUAUUAUUUAGUAAUAUUAUUUAGUAAUUUAGUAAUAUUAUUUAGUAAUAUUAUUUAGUAGUAUUAUUAUUUAUUAAAUCUAUAUACCGCCCUAUACCCACAGGUCUCAAGGCCCUUUACAGAAUAAAAUCAAAAUAUAAAACUAUAAAUUCCAUAUUCAAAAUAAAAACAACAACCCAAUAACACUCCCCUCAAAAAAAAAAAAAAAAAAUUAAAAGGGCAUAGGAUGUUGAAUCAAAUCAACCAAAGGCCUGGUUAGAAAGGAAUGUUUUGGCCCAGCGUAUAAAGGUGUAUAAUGAAGGCACCAGUCGAACUUCCCUGAGGAAAGCAUUCCACAGACGGGGAGCCACUGCAGAGAAGGCCCGCUCUCGUGUUGCGGUCCUGAGUCAUUUAAUGUACGUAGCUGGUAAUGAGGCUGACAAAAUAGUCAGGGCUGGCACAAGCCAUUUUGCUGCCUGAGGCAAAGCAUCAAAUGGCAACCCUCAAGUCAUAGUACCCAAGAUCAACCAAGAUAUUUUGACAUCUGGGGCAGGACAUCCCACAAACGGUUCUAUCCCCUUCUAGGCAGCAGACGUACAGUGGUACCUCGGGUUACAUACGCUUCAGGUUACAUACGCUUCAGGUUACACACUCCGCUAACCCAGAAAUAGUGCUUCAGGUUAAGAACUUUGCUUUAGGAUAAGAACAGAAAUAGGGGUCCGGCGGCGCGGCGGCAGCAGGAGACCCCAUUAGGUAAAGUGGUGCUUCAGGUUAAGAACAGUUUCAGGUUAAGAAUGGUACUCCGGAACGAAUUAAGUACUUAACCCGAGGUACCACUGUACAUUAAAUGAUAAUAAUUUGCUGCCCUUUCAUGAGGCUUAAAUCAGUUGCCCGAGGCAGCCAUGUCCUAAUAGUUAGGACCAGUCCUGCUAGAUUUCUACAUUGUUUGAACCAACUUUUCAUUUUGGGCCAUAUGGGGAAAGUCCCAGACUUGAUCUCCAGUAUCUGUAGUUAGAAAAAGGAUCAGGUGAUGGGAAAGGCCUCUCUUGCCUGAGACCCCGGAAAGCAGGUCUAAAUCUGUGGUAGCAGUGCUCCUCCAAGGCACCUUCCUCUCUCUAGUCCUUUUGCCUGUCAGAAUGAGCGUUGGCUUUUCAACACUGCAGGUCAGAAACCUAUUCCAUCAGAGGAUGCCGUGGUUUCAGUGUUGCUGCCUCUGCCAAGUCCCAAAUGACUUCCUUGUGGCGUGUCACGAUGGCUUCUUGAUCCUAGUUAGUGCCAUUAUGUCUCCACCUCUGAAGAAGGAUGCCAACUGUCAUUCUAAAUUUAUUUUGCUUUGAGUGCUUGUUAUCACUGGCA